Molecule: non-coding RNA, 26 nt
Filed under: Homo sapiens (human)
Lineage: Eukaryota; Metazoa; Chordata; Mammalia; Primates; Hominidae
Source: RNAcentral
UCAACGCACAAUUCCUAGACCCAGAG